GAUGAAUUUUAAUUUCCAUGGUGCCUCAUCUUUGCUGAAUAUGAAACCUUCAAGCCUCUGAAGAGCUGAAUAAAUUAACCCACGUCUGUCCGGGCUUCAUCCUAACUUUGCCGCUGGCGCACCCGGAAAGGAAGCUGAAGUCAGACUUCGGUUGCUGCCUCCUGCUCUUGGUAGCACUGAAACGUGCUCCCCCCACGUGUAAUUGGGACAGUAAUUUCCUAAGAGAAUAUAAAUAAGACUUCCACAAGCCGAUCGUGUCUAAACCCUACUCACUCUUGGACUUAACUUCUUCACCAU
Molecule: long non-coding RNA, 297 nt
Filed under: Ictidomys tridecemlineatus (thirteen-lined ground squirrel)
Lineage: Eukaryota; Metazoa; Chordata; Mammalia; Rodentia; Sciuridae
Description: lncRNA (ENSSTOG00000034540.1)
Source: RNAcentral